RNAcentral lists this ribosomal RNA (483 nucleotides) under uncultured bacterium. Its description in RNAcentral is "partial 16S ribosomal RNA". It matches the Rfam family "Bacterial small subunit ribosomal RNA", at positions 30 to 506 of the family's 1533-position model. The record is from RNAcentral.
AUUGAACGCUGGCGGCAGGCCUAACACAUGCGAGUCGAGCGGAUGAAGGGAGCUUGCUCCUGGAUUCAGCGGCGGACGGGUGAGUAAUGCCUAGGAAUCUGCCUGGUAGUGGGGGAUAACGUCCGGAAACGGGCGCUAAUACCGCAUACGUCCUGAGGGAGAAAGUGGGGGAUCUUCGGACCUCACGCUAUCAGAUGAGCCUAGGUCGGAUUAGCUAGUUGGUGGGGUAAAGGCCUACCAAGGCGACGAUCCGUAACUGGUCUGAGAGGAUGAUCAGUCACACUGGAACUGAGACACGGUCCAGACUCCUACGGGAGGCAGCAGUGGGGAAUGUUGGACAAUGGGCGAAAGCCUGAUCCAGCCAUGCCGCGUGGGUGAAGAAGGUCUUCGGAUUGUAAAGCACUUUAAGUUGGGAGGAAGGGCAGUAAGUUAAUACCUUGCUGUUUUGACGUUACCAACAGAAUAGGCACCGGCUAACUUCGU